GUCUGGGAUUAACGUUUGAGUCAGUGGACUGCGAGAGGCAGACCCACCCUUAAUCUGGGUGGACUGCCAGCGAGGAUAGAAAAAGCAGGCAGAAGGUGGAAUUAGUAGACUUGCUGAGUCUUCCGGCCUUCAUCUUUCUCCUGCGCUGGAUGCUUCCUGCCUAGGAACAUCAGACGCCAAGUUCUUCAGCUUUUGGACUCUUGGACUUCAUACUACUGGUUUGCAGGGGCUCUCAGGCUUUGGCCACAGACUGAACAAGCUGUACUGUUGGCUUCUCUACUUUUGAGUUUUGAGACUCGGACUGAUCCACUACUGGCUUCCUGGCUUCCGAACUUGCAGAUGGCCUUUUGUGAGAUUUUACCUUGUGAUCAUGUACUUUGGAAAGAUCACAUGAACACAUAGCAAGAGAUCGGCCAUUUGUAAGACUAGAAGAGAUCUUUCCCCAGAACUGGGCCAUGCUGGCGCUCUGAUCUUGGACUGCCCAGCCCUCAGAACUGGAAGAAAAUAAAUUUCUGCUAUUCAAGCCACCAAGUUUGUGUUAUUUUGUCAAAGCCACCUAAAC
This 562-nucleotide long non-coding RNA is filed under the name Homo sapiens (human). RNAcentral's name for it is "HSALNT0077938". The record is from RNAcentral. Lineage: Eukaryota; Metazoa; Chordata; Mammalia; Primates; Hominidae.